GGAGUUGGGGUUGUACACCGCCCGUGGUGCAUUUGCAGGCGUGUGCGCUGAGCUGUUCGAGGUGUUGGGAUGAACUUGGUUUUGAGGCCAGCUUGCUGGUACCCGGACCGGGGGAGUGCCAUUCGCCUUGGGCUUUAUGUUGGAUAUGGCUUACGGGCUCGUAUGGGCGCCGAGCUGGUCGUCGGCGGCGGUCGCAUGCGACACGUGCUGUGCGUGCCAGUUCGGUCCUGUGCGAGCUCACAUGUCCCAGGCUCAGUGUAAGAGCUGGUCAUCUAUCCGACCCGUCUUGAAACACGGACCAAGGAGUUUAUCGUGUGCGCAAGUCAUUGGGUGUUGAAAACCCAGAGGCGCAAUGAAAGUGAAGGCAUCCCUCGCGGAGCCGACGUGCGAGCACGGGCACUGCGGUGUCCGAGUGCAGCAUGGCCCCAUCCUGACUGCUUGCAGUGGGGUGGAGGAAGAGCGUACGCGGUGAGACCCGAAAGAUGGUGAACUAUUCCUGAGCAGGAUGAAGCCAGAGGAAACUCUGGUGGAAGUCCGAAGCGAUUCUGACGUGCAAAUCGAUCGUCUGACUUGGGUAUAGGGGCGAAAGACUAAUCGAACCAUCUAGUAGCUGGUU
This 616-nucleotide ribosomal RNA is filed under the name Pratylenchus thornei. RNAcentral describes it as "eukaryotic LSU rRNA". It matches the Rfam family "Eukaryotic large subunit ribosomal RNA", at positions 451 to 956 of the family's 3401-position model. The record is from RNAcentral. Lineage: Eukaryota; Metazoa; Nematoda; Chromadorea; Rhabditida; Pratylenchidae.